UAUACGGAGAGUUUGAUUCUGGCUCAGAAUGAACGCUGGCGGCGUGGAUAAGACAUGCAAGUCGAACGAGAAAACUGAUUAGUUUACUAAGAUGUUUUCUAGUGGCGGACGGGUUAGUAACACGUGAGCAACUUGCCUCGAAGCGGGGGAUAGCCUUCCGAAAGGGAGAUUAAUACCGCAUGUGGCCCCCUUUUAUUAGGGUGGUUAAAGGUGCCUUCGGGUAUCGCUUCGAGAUGGGCUCGCGGCCUAUCAGCUUGUUGGUGAGGUAAUGGCUCACCAAGGCUACGACGGGUAGCUGGUCUGAGAGGACGAUCAGCAACACUGGAACUGAGACACGGUCCAGACACCUACGGGUGGCAGCAGUCGAGAAUCAUUCACAAUGGGGGCAACCCUGAUGGUGCAACGCCGCGUGGAGGAUGAAGGCCCUAGGGUCGUAAACUCCUGUCAUAUGAGAGUAAGGCAUAUGUGUUAAUACCAUGUAUGUUUGAUAGUAUCAUAAGAGGAAGGGACGGCUAACUUCGUGCCAGCAGCCGCGGUAAUACGAAGGUCCCGAGCGUUAUUCGGAAUCACUGGGCGUAAAGAGUACGUAGGCGGUUUGGUAAGUCAGGUGUGAAAUCCCGGAGCUCAACUCCGGAACUGCAUCCGAUACUGCUAGACUUGAGUAAUGGAGGGGCAGGUGGAAUUCUCGGUGUAGCAGUGAAAUGCGUGGAUAUCGAGAGGAAGACCAAUGGCGAAGGCAGCCUGCUGGACAUUUACUGACGCUGAGGUACGAAGGCCAGGGUAGCGAAAGGGAUUAGAUACCCCUGUAGUCCUGGCAGUAAACGGUGCGCGCUUGGUGUAGGAGGACUCGACCCCUUCUGUGCCGGAGCUAACGCGUUAAGCGCGCCGCCUGGGGAGUACGGUCGCAAGACUAAAACUCAAAGAAAUUGACGGGGACCCGCACAAGCGGUGGAGUAUGUGGCUUAAUUCGAUGCAACGCGAAGAACCUUACCAAGGCUUGACAUGUAUUGCUAAGCACGUGAAAGCGUGUGACCCUUCGGGGACCUUACACAGGUGCUGCAUGGCCGUCGUCAGCUCGUGUCGUGAGAUGUUUGGUUAAGUCCAGCAACGAGCGCAACCCCUGUGAAUAGUUGCCAGCACGUAAUGGUGGGGACUCUAUUCAGACUGCCCAGGUCAACUGGGAGGAAGGUGGGGAUGACGUCAGGUCAGUAUGGCCCUUACGCCUUGGGCUGCACACGUACUACAAUGCCCAGUACAAUGAGAACCGAGACCGCGAGGUGGAGGAAAUCUGCAAAACUGGGCCCAGUUCGGAUUGGAGGCUGCAACUCGCCUCCAUGAAGUUGGAAUCGCUAGUAAUGGCACAUCAGCUACGGUGCCGUGAAUACGUUCCCGGGUCUUGUACACACCGCCCGUCACAUCAUGGAAGCCGGUCGCACCCGAAGUAUCUGCGCUAACUAUUUAUAGAAGCAAGGUCCUAAGGUGUAGCUGGUAACUGGGAUGAAGUCGUAACAAGGUAGCCGUAGGGGAACCUGCGGCUGGAUCAUCUCCUUU
RNAcentral lists this ribosomal RNA (1551 nucleotides) under Akkermansiaceae bacterium. RNAcentral's name for it is "bacterial SSU rRNA". It matches the Rfam family "Bacterial small subunit ribosomal RNA". The record is from RNAcentral. Lineage: Bacteria; Pseudomonadati; Verrucomicrobiota; Verrucomicrobiia; Verrucomicrobiales; Akkermansiaceae.